RNAcentral lists this ribosomal RNA (433 nucleotides) under uncultured bacterium. Its description in RNAcentral is "partial 16S ribosomal RNA". It matches the Rfam family "Bacterial small subunit ribosomal RNA", at positions 29 to 507 of the family's 1533-position model. The record is from RNAcentral.
AACGAACGCUGGCGGCAUGCCUAACACAUGCAAGUCGAACGAGACCUUCGGGUCUAGUGGCGCACGGGUGCGUAACGCGUGGGAACCUGCCCUUAGGUUCGGAAUAACUCCCCGAAAGGGGUGCUAAUACCGGAUAAUGUCUUCGGACCAAAGAUUUAUCGCCUUUGGAUGGGCCCGCGUUAGAUUAGCUAGUUGGUAGGGUAAAAGCCUACCAAGGCGACGAUCCAUAGCUGGUCUGAGAGGAUGAUCAGCCACACUGGGACUGAGACACGGCCCAGACUCCUACGGGAAGCAGCAGUGGGGAAUAUUGGACAAUGGGCGAAAGCCUGAUCCAGCAAUGCCGCGCGAGUGAUGAAGGCCUUAGGGUUGUAAAGCUCUUUUACCCGGGAUGAUAAUGACAGUACCGGGAGAAUAAGCUCCGGCUAACUCCGUG